UGGGAUAUAGCUCAGUUGGUAGAGUGCUUGUCUUUCAUGCACAAGAACCUGGGUUCAAUCCCCAGCACCACAA
RNAcentral lists this transfer RNA (73 nucleotides) under Marmota monax (woodchuck). It matches the Rfam family "tRNA". Rfam says of the family: Transfer RNA (tRNA) molecules are approximately 80 nucleotides in length. Their secondary structure includes four short double-helical elements and three loops (D, anti-codon, and T loops). Further hydrogen bonds mediate the characteristic L-shaped molecular structure. tRNAs have two regions of fundamental functional importance: the anti-codon, which is responsible for specific mRNA codon recognition, and the 3' end, to which the tRNAs corresponding amino acid is attached (by aminoacyl-tRNA synthetases). tRNAs cope with the degeneracy of the genetic code in two manners: having more than one tRNA (with a specific anti-codon) for a particular amino acid; and 'wobble' base-pairing, i.e. permitting non-standard base-pairing at the 3rd anti-codon position. Lineage: Eukaryota; Metazoa; Chordata; Mammalia; Rodentia; Sciuridae. The record is from Rfam by way of RNAcentral.